Molecule: ribosomal RNA, 468 nt
Filed under: uncultured bacterium
Lineage: Bacteria
Description: partial 16S ribosomal RNA
Rfam family: Bacterial small subunit ribosomal RNA
Source: RNAcentral
GACGAACGCUGGCGGCGUGCUUAACACAUGCAAGUCGAACGGAAAGGCCCUGCUUUUGUGGGGUGCUCGAGUGGCGAACGGGUGAGUAACACGUGAGUAACCUGCCCUUGACUUUGGGAUAACUUCAGGAAACUGGGGUUAAUAUCGGACAGGAGCUCCUGCUGCAUGGUGGGGGUUGGAAAGUUUUGGCGGUGGGGGAUGGACUCGCGGCUUAUCGGCUUGUUGGUGGGGUAGUGGCUUACCAAGGCAUUGACGGGUAGCCGGCCUGAGAGGGUGACCGGCCACAUUGGGACUAAGAUAGGACCAAGAGUGCAACGGGGGGCAGCGGUGGGAAAUAUUGCACAAUGGGCGGAAGCCGGGUACAGCGACGCCGCGUGCGGAAUGACGGCUUUCGGGGUAUAAACCGCUUUCGCCUGUGACGAAGCGUGAGUGACGGUAAUGAGUAAAGAAGCACCGGCUAACUACGUG